This 3450-nucleotide long non-coding RNA is filed under the name Citrus sinensis (sweet orange). Its description in RNAcentral is "long non-coding RNA (CSIN_LNC005400)". The record is from RNAcentral. Lineage: Eukaryota; Viridiplantae; Streptophyta; Magnoliopsida; Sapindales; Rutaceae.
AGCGAAGAGUAUCCAUGCCAAUAUUCGAGCACAGCUUUGAUGUGUGUGAUGGGAGCAAUUCAAGCUGUUGCGUUUGCCCUUUGCAUGGAAAAAAAUUGGGAUCAAUGGAAAUUGGGCUGGAAUAUUAGACUUGUUACCGUUGCAUAUUCGGUAUGUUAAUUAGAGUAGAGUGAUAUUUCACGCAAACAGUGAUAGAGAGGCAACAGAAACAUUGUAACUGUAACAUACCAAAAUAUCAUUAUUCUAUUAAUUAAUUAUGCUUUUUUCUUUUUUAUAAUGAAAUUGAAAGUGAUGUUCUAUGCAUGUUAUAGGGAAUAGUUGCUUCAGGUUUUAUGGUGACACUUAUAUCAUGGUGUGUGCGCGUGAAAGGCCCUCUAUUUGCUUCUGUUUUUAGUCCUAUGAUGCUUGUGGUUGUGGCCUUGGCUGCAUCUUUAAUUCUCGAUGAGAUGCUACACUUGGGAAGGUAUGUAUAUAUAUAUAUGCAUGUGUAUUUGUGUGUGUGUGUAUUCUUUUAAUUUAACAACAAUAGUAACUCUAUAAAAUUAUUUUAUAAAUUAAAUUUGUGCAAAUUAAUGUGACACAAUAUUUCAGUCUAUUAGGAGCAACAUUGAUCGUGUGCGGGCUAUACUCUGUUUUAUGGGGUAAAGGAAAGGAAAUGAAGAAUGUAACGCAGCUAGCGCCAGGUGCUAAAACCUCUAAAGACUCUGAACCAAUAAAAAUUGUUAUUGGUUCACCAAUUGAUGAUAGUCGUCAUAGAGAAGAAGACCAUAUAUUUCCAAAGGAAAAUAAACGAAAUAGUAAAGGAGAUCGAGAUUAAAGUUAUUGGAUGCCGACAUAUCCAUAAAAGCACAAUGGAAAAUUCAAAAAAGGACAAAAGAAACAUGAAUCAAUUUACGUAAAUGCUUAAUUUAUUGUAUUCAUAAAAUUUUUUUUGUGGCUUCUACUUAGCAUCUAUUUGGUAUGACUUGUCUAAUGGUUAUAAAUAUCUAUUUAAUCUCACAAACUCUUUUCAAAUCUUUUGUUGUUGUUUGGCUGUUUUUUGAGUAGAGCUCUUGAUGAUUAAAUGAGUUCUUUUACCUCUCUUAACGAGCUCAAAUUGUAGACUUUUGAGAAUAGAGGUUGAUUUUUUUUUUUAAAUGUUAAAAUUUUUAAAAUAUUAUUUACUUAUUUAACAAUCUUAUUUAAUUCAUUUCAUAACAUAACUUUAAAAAACUUUCCUAUUAAAGUAAUUUUAUAAUUUUUAAUAAAAACUCUCAUUGACAAACAAACAAUUAAAAUUUUUUUGAUGCAAACUCUACUUAAAAAAGUUUUAUUAAUCAAAAUUUUAUUUAAAUAAGUUCUAUUUAAAGAAGUAUAUCAAUGGAGUAUUUAAUAUUACUUUAUUUAAAUAAAUUAUAUCGGUAGAUUUCAUAAUUUUUUAAUGUUAAAUCUUGGGUAGUCCUAAUGUAAGACCGACUUUUAGUCCCACAAUUUAACAGAAUACUAAUGACUGGCUUAGGUGGUAGGACUAUUGGACUAACGUACAUAAAUUUUUCACAUUAACAGAUGUCACUUGCACCACUAGUUUCUUACAUCUGAUAUAUGGUAUGAAGCUACCUUUUGAUGGCUGUGGUUCAAGUCGCAUUUGCUGGGGUUAAUGUCUUCUAUAAAUUAGCUGGUGAGAUGGAAUGAUUUUGCGAGUCAUCAUUGCCUAUAGAUUAAUUUUUGCCUUAGCUUUUAUGCUUCCUAUUUAAUCGGUCUUAUUUGGUAUUGAGAUGUUGUAACUUUUAAAAUAAAAUAAAAAUUAUAAUUAUGAGAUAAAAAUUAAUAGUAUAUUUUAAAUAUAAUUUUUAAAUAAUAGUUUUGACAAAAAUUAGUAAAUAUAUAACAAAAAUCAAAUCAAUUUAUCUUUCAAAUUACAACAGUAAGUAUUUACCAAAUAUUUUAGUAUUGUAACUUUUAAAUUACAGUUGUCCAACCUCAAUCACAAAUAGGGUCUUAAUUGUAAUUUUUUAGACCUUCUUAAUUGGUGAAAAUUAUUCCUUAAUUUAAAAUCAAACUAUUAUAUUGAUUGUGGUUUAAUCAUGUGCUUGUUCUGUGUAGAAUAUAUGCAAAUAACAUUAACCUAAUUUUUAUCCAUCUCCAUGCAUGCAAACUAUCUUAACAAUUAGAAUUAUUAAGUUCCAUGUCCCAUCUGAUAUUUGUAAAACCUAUAUUUUUUUCGGCUUAGUGAGGCUAUUUGCACUCUAAAAAUUACUCUAAACACUCUAAUUUUAAUAAAGAUUUUAUUACAAAAAUACUCAUCAUAUGAAUUACUAUUAAGGAUAAUUUAUUAUAAGCCGAUAUUACAUAAUUACUUUACACCCGUAUAGCAUACUCAUUAUUCAAUAUACAUAAUUCUAUGCUUUAACUUUUAUUUCAAAUGUCUUAAUCAAUACUUAGAUAAAUUAUGAUGAAAUCAAUAUUUCUAUUUUUAUUUUUACCCUCAUUAUUUAUGGAAUAUUUCUUAUUAUUAUUUUCUCAUUGUAAGCUAUUUUGGGUACAAAAUCCAAUAUUGAACAUAAAUAAAAAGAAUUAAUAACUGUAUUUUUGUUAAAUAUAUUGUUUACAACUUGAUUUGAUUAUAUUAUUGUGAAAAUUUAUUAAAUCUCUUGAAAUUGGGUGAGUUGAAUAUCUUUAUUGUGUUUUAAGUAAAUAAAGUUAAUUAAUUUCAAUAGUUUAUAGAGUGUAUAAAGUAAAUCUUAAUUUUUUUAAAAAUUAGUAUCUGAGUGUACAAAAUAAUAGUGUUCAAAGUAGUUUUUAUAGUACAAAUAAUCCAUCCCUUCUACGUAGUAGGUUUGGUUUCUUUUUACUAUUUAAAUUAUUAUAAAAUAAAAUUAGGUGCAAAAAGUGUUUCACCAUAAUAUUUUUCUAAAAACGAAUUAUAAAAUAUUACAUUUUACUAUUUUUUUCAUUAAUUGACCAUUGGUUGACCAAUAAAAUAUUAAUUUUGCCGGAAUUUUAAGGAAAAAACAAAGAAUUUCUAAUUAGGGUUAAUAAUUUUCAUAUUUAUCAAAAGCCCAAAAAACUAAAUAAAAGCUCAUAUAUAUACACAAAAGGCCUAAUCUAAUGUUUUCGAUAGUGGAUUAUUACAACAAUUUUCAUUCAGUUAAAUAUCAAUUUAAUUUUAAUUAUUAAUUAUCAAUAAAAAUCCACAGACAUACAUAAAAACUGUUACGUGACAGCGCAACUGACCUUGUAAUUGGUCUGUAAAGCCUUUCCGAACCAUUUGCUUUUAUUUCCAUGUUGUAGCAGACAUCUAAAUAAAGAACAAACAAGUAAACUUGGUCUAUUUCGACGAAGACCAAGGCCUCCGAUAGCAGAUAAACCUCUAAAGAUUCUGAACCAAUAGAAAUUGUUAUUACUUCUCCAGUUGAUGAUAGUCGUCAUGAAGAAGAAGACCAUAUAUUUCCAAAAGAAAGUGAAGAAAAU